Paramuricea clavata is the source of this 294-nucleotide non-coding RNA. The record is from the annotation of a GenBank genome assembly. NCBI's taxonomy places the organism in Eukaryota, Metazoa, Cnidaria, Anthozoa, Malacalcyonacea, Plexauridae.
GCCAACCUCUCUAAUAAGCCCACUUCUCUAAUAAGCCCACCUCUCUAAUAAGCCCACCUCUCUAAUAAGCCCACCUCUCUAAUAAGCCCACCUCUCUAAUAAGCCCCCUUUUUAAUUAGCCCACCUCUCUAAUAAGCCCCCCUAUAUAAUAAGCACCCUCUCUGACAAGCCACUUCUCUAAUAAGUCCACCUCUCUAAUAAAUCCAUCUCUCUAAUAAGUCUCCUUUCUGAUAAGCCCAUCUUCUCUGAAAAACCCAUCUUUAAAAGUGCCCUGUUUAAUACGCCCCCCCCCCC